Molecule: ribosomal RNA, 434 nt
Filed under: uncultured Glomus
Lineage: Eukaryota; Fungi; Glomeromycota; Glomeromycetes; Glomerales; Glomeraceae
Description: SSU rRNA
Rfam family: Eukaryotic small subunit ribosomal RNA
Source: RNAcentral
AGCAGCCGCGGUAAUUCCAGCUCCAAUAGCGUAUAUUAAAGUUGUUGCAGUUAAAAAGCUCGUAGUUGAAUUUCGGGAUCAGUAGGUUGGUCGUGCCACCGGUAUGUACUGGCCUUGCUGGUUCCUCCUUCUUGAAGAACCGUGAUGCCAUUAAUUUGGUGUUGCGGGGAAACAGGACUGUUACUUUGAAAAAUUAGAGUGUUUAAAGCAGGCUAACGUUUGAAUACAUUAGCAUGGAAUAAUAGAAUAGGACGUUCGAUCCUAUUUGUUGGUUUCUAGGGUUGACGUAAUGAUUAAUAGGGAUAGUUGGGGGCAUUAGUAUUCAAUUGUCAGAGGUGAAAUUCUUGGAUUUAUUGAAGACUAACUACUGCGAAAGCAUUUGCCAAGGAUGUUUCAUUAAUCAAGAACGAAAGUUAGGGAUCGAAGACGAUCAG